RNAcentral lists this ribosomal RNA (486 nucleotides) under uncultured bacterium. RNAcentral's name for it is "partial 16S ribosomal RNA". It matches the Rfam family "Bacterial small subunit ribosomal RNA", at positions 28 to 507 of the family's 1533-position model. The record is from RNAcentral.
GACGAACGCUGGCGGCGUGCUUAACACAUGCAAGUCGAACGGGAUCCAAAGGCUUUUUGUUUUUGGUGAGAGUGGCGAACGGGUGAGUAACACGUGAGUAACCUGCCCCCUUCUUUUGGAUAACCGCAUGAAAGUGUGGCUAAUACAGGAUAUUCCAGGCUGGUCGCAUGAUUGGUUUGGGAAAUGGUUUGGUCUGGUGGGGGAUGGGCUCGCGGCCUAUCAGCUUGUUGGUGGGGUGAUGGCCUACCAAGGCGGUGACGGGUAGCCGGCCUGAGAGGGUGGGCGGUCACACUGGGACUGAGAUACGGCCCAGACUCAUACGGGAGGCAGCAGUGGGGGAUUUUGCACAAUGGGCGCAAGCCUGAUGCAGCGACGCCGCGUGAGGGAUGAAGGCCUUCGGGUUGUAAACCUCUUUCGCUGGGUUGAAAGGCCAUGCUUUGGGUGUGGUUGAUUUGAACUGGUAAAGAAGUACCGGCUAACUACGUG